RNAcentral lists this ribosomal RNA (305 nucleotides) under uncultured bacterium. RNAcentral describes it as "partial 16S ribosomal RNA". It matches the Rfam family "Bacterial small subunit ribosomal RNA", at positions 505 to 807 of the family's 1533-position model. The record is from RNAcentral.
ACAGCAGCAGCCGCGGUAAUACAGAGGGUGCGAGCGUUAAUCGGAUUUACUGGGCGUAAAGCGUGCGUAGGCGGCUAAUUGAGUCGGAUGUGAAAUCCCCGAGCUUAACUUGGGAAUUGCAUUCGAUACUGGUUAGCUAGAGUGUGGGAGAGGAUGGUAGAAUUCCAGGUGUAGCGGUGAAAUGCGUAGAGAUCUGGAGGAAUACCGAUGGCGAAGGCAGCCAUCUGGCCUAACACUGACGCUGAGGUACGAAAGCAUGGGGAGCAAACAGGAUUAGAUACCCCAGUAGUCCCUGUCUCUUAUAC